UCUGCAUAUGAAAGGAUCACAACAAAUCAUUGUUUAGGCAGGAACACAUAGUUGUGAACAUGUUACGUUCAAUGACGGCUGUAGGUGUGACACCGGCAUAACGUGCCUCAAAAUAAGGCAAUAAAAAGCAUUUAGUUAAUAGCCAUGGUCUUGCAACCAGAGGCUUCAUACCUCCGAACGGCCGCUACGUGGCAUGCCACGUCCCGUUUGAGCCCGACUCUUGUUCAUAUCCUUACCACCAUCCUUGCGCUUGUCCUAUUCCUUGCGAUUCUCCUGCUCGUGUCCUGUUAAUGUAAAAUGACAAGGCAUAAUGUCAGUGUAUGCACCUGCAUGAUGGCCACUUACUGCCGGUGCCGUCUAGUCCCCCUUUUCCUGCUUUCCCCUGCUUGCCUGCGAAUGAAUGCUGCGCCAUUAUAGAGGAGAAAGACAGAUUCUUGUUAUGAAGAUGCUAAUUCAUUAGGCUUUACCUUACACUGUCGUCAUUGGAGGAUCAGCGUGAGUAUAAGCAAUGCAUACGCGCUAAACAACAAAUUCAAGAUAAUCUUAUUAGUGCAAUGCGCGCAAUGAAUUACUGCUCUGAGGACACGGGCAGCACUGGGCCUUACGCCCAACUUACUCCCAACUCCCAACUAACCCUCUUACUUAACGCAAGCUCGCAUAAGUUAUUGCGUCAGAGACAAAUGCCAAAGGAGAAGAUACCCCCUCUAACGGUUGAAAUACUGAACCACCACGGCGCUUCGUGCCGAGCCACAAGAGGGCCAAAGACGUGAGAGCUGCCAGACAGGCGCGCACACCGAAACUCCCGAAGCCAAACGCCUCGAAAGACCUCCG
Molecule: long non-coding RNA, 831 nt
Filed under: Volvox carteri
Lineage: Eukaryota; Viridiplantae; Chlorophyta; Chlorophyceae; Chlamydomonadales; Volvocaceae
Description: long non-coding RNA (VCAR_LNC003447)
Source: RNAcentral